UGGAAGGAAAAGGCUCUGCCUCUGUAGGA
Molecule: non-coding RNA, 29 nt
Filed under: Mus musculus (house mouse)
Lineage: Eukaryota; Metazoa; Chordata; Mammalia; Rodentia; Muridae
Source: RNAcentral